GCACUGAUGUGGAGUCGCAUAAUAGGACGAAACGGCCGUCCAGUGC
Molecule: non-coding RNA, 46 nt
Organism: Schistosoma rodhaini
Lineage: Eukaryota; Metazoa; Platyhelminthes; Trematoda; Strigeidida; Schistosomatidae
Source: Rfam